GGACCCGCACAAGUAGUGGAGCAUGUGGUUUAAUUCGAAGAUACGCGCAGAACCUUACCAACACUUGACAUGUUCGUCGCGACUUUAAGAGAUUAGAGUUUUCGGUUCGGCCGGACGAAACACAGGUGCUGCAUGGCUGUCGUCAGCUCGUGUCGUGAGAUGUUGGGUUAAGUCCCGCAACGAGCGCAACCCUCACUUUUAGUUGCCAUCAUUUAGUUGGGCACUCUGAAAGAACUGCCAGUGAUAAGCUGGAGGAAGGUGGGGAUGACGUCAAGUCCUCAUGGCCCUUACGUGUUGGGCUACACACGUGCUACAAUGGUAUCUACAACAGGAAGCAAAACUGCGAAGUUAAGCA
This 355-nucleotide ribosomal RNA is filed under the name uncultured bacterium. RNAcentral describes it as "bacterial SSU rRNA". It matches the Rfam family "Bacterial small subunit ribosomal RNA", at positions 917 to 1269 of the family's 1533-position model. The record is from RNAcentral.